This 459-nucleotide ribosomal RNA is filed under the name uncultured bacterium. Its description in RNAcentral is "partial 16S ribosomal RNA". It matches the Rfam family "Bacterial small subunit ribosomal RNA", at positions 339 to 795 of the family's 1533-position model. The record is from RNAcentral.
CUACGGGGGGCACCAGUGAGGAAUAUUGGUCAAUGGGCGCAAGCCUGAACCAGCCAUGCCGCGUGAAGGAUGACGGCCCUAUGGGUUGUAAACUUCUUUUAUACGGGAAGAAACGCCUCUACGUGUAGAGGUUUGACGGUACCGUACGAAUAAGCAUCGGCUAACUCCGUGCCAGCAGCCGCGGUAAUACGGAGGAUGCAAGCGUUAUCCGGAUUUAUUGGGUUUAAAGGGUACGUAGGCGGAAGAUUAAGUCAGUAGUGAAAUCCUGCAGCUUAACUGUAGAACUGUUAUUGAUACUGGUUUUCUUGAAUGUAGUUGAGGUAGGCGGAAUAAGUAAUGUAGCGGUGAAAUGCUUAGAUAUUACUUAGAACACCGAUUGCGAAGGCAGCUUACUAAGCUAUGAUUGACGCUGAGGUACGAAAGCGUGGGGAGCGAACAGGAUUAGAUACCCGGGUAGUC